AGGGCAAAAGAAAUAGCUCUACUUCGAGCUUCAAUGACCGCGUUCACCUUCUAGAAUAUUUUAUAAAUUUGUUUUUCUGAUUGAAAAUGUAGCUAAAAUUGUUAUUUCAAGUGGGCAGUACUAAGACCGCUUCAUCUGGAUGGUCAGAUUUUCGCUACGGAAAUGUGAUUGGAAAACGUUAAUAACGGAUAAAUUUUUAUAGAAAAGUCUCUAGUAAAUAAUCGAUCCCCGAAUUUGAAUACUUCAAGUAUUGUAUAAUUUUUACUCAACAAACGAAAGGUAUGAUGAUAGUCGUAAAACAAAUAAGUGAGAACUGAAAGAAGUGCAAGUAAAAAAAACAGUUGAAACAAAAUCGAGACAAUAAAAAGCUUCAAUUUCAACCCUUUACCUAUACACUUGCUAAUGCCGCGUCCCGACGAGCGCAACAAAGCAGUGACGCGAACGCGGCUGCAAAGUGCUUGCAGCGGCUGUUCUUUCGAUCGUGGUCUCCACUGAAAGCCCACGCGUUUCCAAUCUGCAUGUUUUCAGUACACGCAAAGUCGAGCCUUCAGACUGGAUCUUCUGGAUCUUCGAUGUUUUCGUCGUAUGAUCAGCACCAAAACAAGUGCAAGCCGCCGAUUUUCCUUCUUCAUUACAAAUUGUCCGAGAUAGAAACUUAAUAUUCGCGAACAGCAGCGUUCAAAAAUAUGUUUUACAACAGAAACAUAAAGCGACAUCCUCGUUACUUAAUUAGAUUCGUUAGAAACAAAGUUUGCGUUCUGUAGGUUAUAUAUCUCUGGUAAUUUUUCGCAAAUAUUUCCACAAAAAAAAACAGAAAUCAAAGCCAUUACUUAAUGUCGCAAGAUGGGGAAAUAUUAUAUCUCCACAUGGACUACAACUACUAGAAAAAGUCCUAAGGAAACUUGGCAAAUGGAAAAUUGCACUUUUACUGUUGUUUACUAUUCUUAUUGUUUAUAGAUAUAGAGAAAACUUUGAAUCCUCUUUAACUAACUAAUAAUUAAGUCAAAUUGAAACCUUUGCCUAAUGGCGCACUAUCCGCUGAGUGACGACUACUUUUGCUUUAAUCAUGCAGUUAACCGUUUUAACUCACUUUCAUAUAAUAAUAUAAAUAUAAUAAUAAAAACGUUGUAUGUGUAAUGUUUUGGACAAACAUUGGUAAGAAUUUGAGGGAUUCUUGAAUAAAUCGCAAGUUCGUCAGGGAAUUGCGACUGAACGGCAUGAGAUUUUUGUACUUUCAAUGUUCUCAAUCAACAGAUUUGUCCACCAAGUAAAAGCUCAGCCAGCGUUUCUAAUUUCAUUCAAUUUUCAACAAGAAAAACGCUUGGUUGCUCCAGAAAUUCUCCACAAUUUUUGUUCAAAGGCUGAACAUCGUUUUUUUCAUUGUAUGAAAGUGAGAGAUGAAUAUUUUAAACAAUUAUUAAUUCAUUAAAUGUUUUACUCUAAAUUAGUUAAUUUAAAUUAAUCAAUUGACUCAAUGAUUAAUACGAAAUUGUCUUUUACGGCAAAAGAUAACUUAAAGAUUGAUCUCAACACGCAAAUCUGAAUAUUUUUGAAAGUAAAAAAAGGGACAAGUGGAACUGAAUGCUUUCAGAAGAUUGUGAUUUGCUCUUGGGAUUUGUGAUGCAAUCUGCGUAUUGUACUAAUAUCAGUAGUAUCAUAAUAUUUCACCCUGUCCUUCUAGGAAAAAGUGUAUGAAUGUAUUAAAUAAAUAAAUAUUAAAGUGUG
Dendroctonus ponderosae (mountain pine beetle) is the source of this 1725-nucleotide long non-coding RNA. RefSeq lists it as uncharacterized. Lineage: Eukaryota; Metazoa; Arthropoda; Insecta; Coleoptera; Curculionidae. The transcript is spliced from 2 exons. The record is from RefSeq and is a predicted model, not a curated record.